GAUGAACGCUGGCGGCGUGCCUAAUACAUGCAAGUCGAGCGAACGGACGAGAAGCUUGCUUUUCUGAUGUUAGCGGCGGACGGGUGAGUAACACGUGGAUAACCUACCUAUAAGACUGGGAUAACUUCGGGAAACCGGAGCUAAUACCGGAUAAUAUUUUGAACCGCAUGGUUCAAAAGUGAAAGACGGUCUUGCUGUCACUUAUAGAUGGAUCCGCGCUGCAUUAGCUAGUUGGUAAGGUAACGGCUUACCAAGGCAACGAUGCAUAGCCGACCUGAGAGGGUGAUCGGCCACACUGGAACUGAGACACGGUCCAGACUCCUACGGGAGGCAGCAGUAGGGAAUCUUCCGCAAUGGGCGAAAGCCUGACGGAGCAACGCCGCGUGAGUGAUGAAGGUCUUCGGAUCGUAAAACUCUGUUAUUAGGGAAGAACAUAUGUGUAAGUAACUGUGCACAUCUUGACGGUACCUAAUCAGAAAGCCACGGCUAACUACGUGCCAGCAGCCGCGGUAAUACGUAGGUGGCAAGCGUUAUCCGGAAUUAUUGGGCGUAAAGCGCGCGUAGGCGGUUUUUUAAGUCUGAUGUGAAAGCCCACGGCUCAACCGUGGAGGGUCAUUGGAAACUGGAAAACUUGAGUGCAGAAGAGGAAAGUGGAAUUCCAUGUGUAGCGGUGAAAUGCGCAGAGAUGUGGAGGAACACCAGUGGCGAAGGCGACUUUCUGGUCUGUAACUGACGCUGAUGUGCGAAAGCGUGGGGAUCAAACAGGAUUAGAUACCCUGGUAGUCCACGCCGUAAACGAUGAGUGCUAAGUGUUAGGGGGUUUCCGCCCCUUAGUGCUGCAGCUAACGCAUUAAGCACUCCGCCUGGGGAGUACGACCGCAAGGUUGAAACUCAAAGGAAUUGACGGGGGCCCGCACAAGCGGUGGAGCAUGUGGUUUAAUUCGAAGCAACGCGAAGAACCUUACCAAAUCUUGACAUCCUUUGACAACUCUAGAGAUAGAGCCUUCCCCUUCGGGGGACAAAGUGACAGGUGGUGCAUGGUUGUCGUCAGCUCGUGUCGUGAGAUGUUGGGUUAAGUCCCGCAACGAGCGCAACCCUUAAGCUUAGUUGCCAUCAUUAAGUUGGGCACUCUAAGUUGACUGCCGGUGACAAACCGGAAGAAGGUGGGGAUGACGUCAAAUCAUCAUGCCCCUUAUGAUUUGGGCUACACACGUGCUACAAUGGACAUACAAAAGGCAGCGAAACCGCGAGGUCAGCAAAUCCCAUAAAGUUGGUCUCAGUUCGGAUGGUAGUCUGCAACUCGACUACAUGAAGCUGGAAUCGCUAGUAAUCGAAGAUCAGCAUGCUACCGGUGAUACGUUCCCGGGUCU
Molecule: ribosomal RNA, 1370 nt
Filed under: uncultured bacterium
Lineage: Bacteria
Description: bacterial SSU rRNA
Rfam family: Bacterial small subunit ribosomal RNA
Source: RNAcentral